RNAcentral lists this long non-coding RNA (624 nucleotides) under Anas platyrhynchos platyrhynchos (common mallard). RNAcentral's name for it is "lncRNA (ENSAPLG00000017895.1)". The record is from RNAcentral. Lineage: Eukaryota; Metazoa; Chordata; Aves; Anseriformes; Anatidae.
GUUCCCUUUAUAAUCAGCAGAGAGGAACCACAUUCUCUGCUCAUGGGAUCAGGGGCUCCAGUUAAGUUUAGACCUAGGCAUUCAGCCUUGACUCAGCCUUAAUCUGAAUUAUGUUGUAGGAAUAUUUGUCCUAGGCUUAGUCUUAGCUGUGUCUGAUCAUAGACCCUAUUGAUCCAAGCUCUGACCAAUGGGCUGACCUCUCAGCUUGGCCUUGAAUCUACUUUGUGACUGAGGACUUGUGUGAUAAUCAUAGGACUAUGUCUGGCUACUGCUGCUAGACUUGAUUGUGAUCUGCAUGUUGACUUCCUGGCUUAACUUCUGUCCUGCCUCAUCACUGGGAACUUGCCUGAUGAUCUGGACUUUUGUAUGAAUGUGGAUGCUACCUCUGGAUCUUUGGAGUUGUAGGACAAGAUCUUGGCCUCUCAUGCUGUUGCAUGACAGCUGUCUACUACAACCUGGAACAGGACCAGCUCCAGCUUUUCACAAAGACUGCCAAACCCCCAUAAGAAGGCAAAACCUCAUCGGGAGGGAGGAAGAAUGACAGAAAUCUUUAUAGGUGAAGGAAACAGAAGUUAUCCCAUGCCACUGGAUAAUGCUAAAAACAAAGUUGUGAAACAGCCUGAA